This 459-nucleotide ribosomal RNA is filed under the name uncultured bacterium. RNAcentral's name for it is "bacterial SSU rRNA". It matches the Rfam family "Bacterial small subunit ribosomal RNA", at positions 28 to 507 of the family's 1533-position model. The record is from RNAcentral.
GACGAACGCUGGCGGCGUGCUUAACACAUGCAAGUCGAACGGAAAGGCCCUUCGGGGUACUCGAGUGGCGAACGGGUGAGUAACACGUGGGUGAUCUGCCCUGCACUUUGGGAUAAGCCUGGGAAACUGGGUCUAAUACCGGAUAGGACUACGGCCUGCAUGGGUUGUGGUGGAAAGCUUUUGCGGUGUGGGAUGGGCCCGCGGCCUAUCAGCUUGUUGGUGGGUGAUGGCCUACCAAGGCGACGACGGGUAGCCGGCCUGAGAGGGUGACCGGCCACACUGGGACUGAGAUACGGCCCAGACUCCUACGGGAGGCAGCAGUGGGGAAUAUUGCACAAUGGGCGCAAGCCUGAUGCAGCGACGCCGCGUGGGGGAUGACGGCCUUCGGUUGUAACCUCUUUCAGUAGGGACGAAGCGUAAGUGACGGUACCUAUAGAAGAAGCACCGGCCAACUACGUG